UGUGCUGUUUAAGGCAAACACUUCAUUAUCAUUUUUUUUUUUUUUUAAUCAUGUAUGUAAACAAAACUGGAAGUUGCGGUAUUUCAAAUCUCACGGCCUUGGCAGCUGCUAGCCCCCUAAGAUUAUUAUUAAAGAGAGAGAGAGAGAGGGACAGAGAGAGAGAGAACAAUAACAACAACUGAGUAAACUUGCGAUGACAAGAACAAGUUGAGAAGUCAACGUGUCUGUAGGGCCCCCUCCCUUGUCAUUUGUUGCUUUUUCAGUUGUUGUUGCUUAUGCAACAUUAAGUUUCAGCUUAAUUUGCCUUGCAAAGCAUUUCACAAACGUCAUCGAAUAAAAUUAAAAAUGUGCCAAAAGAUUUGUUUAGCUGCGAGACACACAGAGCGAGAGAAUGAGAAAUAUGAUUAGACAACGCAGAAGUCAAACAUUUUGGAUGUUUGCCAAAACCAGUGUUGCCAGUGCUUUCAAACUGAAAAGUUGGCAACACUGGCCAAAACUGACAAAAAUGCGAUGCAUUGCAACACGAGCGGAAAGCGAACAUGGAAUGUGAAGGAACAAAUAAAACAUUGAAGACUGCUCGAAAACUGUAUACAAAAUAAUCAUAUAAAUUUA
Molecule: non-coding RNA, 612 nt
Organism: Drosophila virilis
Lineage: Eukaryota; Metazoa; Arthropoda; Insecta; Diptera; Drosophilidae
Source: RefSeq, a predicted model, not a curated record